GAUGAACGCUAGCUACAGGCUUAACACAUGCAAGUCGAGGGGAAACGACAUCGAAAGCUUGCUUUGGAUGGGCGUCGACAGGCGCACGGGUGAGUAACGCGUAUCAAACCUGCCCACCACUUGGGGAUAACCUAGCGAAAGUAAGACCAAUACCCAAUGAUACAUCUAGAAGACAUCUGAUAGAGAUUAAAGAUUUAUCGGAUAUGGAUGGGGAUGCGUCUGAUUAGCUUGUUGGCGGGGUAACGGCCCACCAAGGCUACGAUCAGUAGGGGUUCUGAGAGGAAGGUCCCACACAUUGGAACUGAGACACGGUCCAAACUCCUGCGGGAGGCAGCAGUGAGGAAUAUUGAUCAAUGGGCGAGAGCCUGAACCAGCCAAGUAGCGUGCAGGAUGACGGCCCUAUGGGUUGUAAACUGCUUUUAUAAGGGAAUAAAGUGAGCCUCGUGAGGCUUUUUGCAUGUACCUUAUGAAUAAGGACCGGCUAAUUCCGUGCCAGCAGCCGCCGUAA
RNAcentral lists this ribosomal RNA (508 nucleotides) under uncultured bacterium. Its description in RNAcentral is "partial 16S ribosomal RNA". It matches the Rfam family "Bacterial small subunit ribosomal RNA", at positions 28 to 523 of the family's 1533-position model. The record is from RNAcentral.